Long non-coding RNA from Rhipicephalus microplus (southern cattle tick), 808 nucleotides. RefSeq lists it as uncharacterized. The record is from RefSeq and is a predicted model, not a curated record. NCBI's taxonomy places the organism in Eukaryota, Metazoa, Arthropoda, Arachnida, Ixodida, Ixodidae.
ACUGCUCCGCAGUCUGGGCCAGGAUGUGCUCCGGUGGCCUUGUUGUCGUUAGGAGAAGCUCUGCAGCCGGCGCCAGCGCACCGCUCCCUAGCGAAGUGUGGACCUCAAAACUAACCAGAUUGACUUUAAGGUUGUGCGCAGAGGUCGGCAGCUACGCACUUGUGGGGGAGAAGACAACUUGAAGCCGUAAACAGAACAAACCCAUGUCUCAGGCUGCCGCCAAACGAAGCCGCCAUAAAACUUGAAGCUGAAGUGCUGUUAUCGUCGAACUCUAAGCUCAUCUUCACUCAAUUCAGACACACAGAUGGAGCUGCUGUGAUGGCCAUGUGUUUGCAACUCGUUGGGUCAUUUACUCCCAACAGUGCGCCGGAGGAAAGAGGGCAGCGGAGCGCGCCCGGAAAGCAAAUGCCAAGAGCACAUGAGCCAGUUUAGCAACGGAGAAAGAAAAAGGGCCCCAAUACAGCGAGUAGCAGGAAGCUGCCGCAGAGCGACGACGAAGAAGAAGAAAGUGAUUCGGAACAAGUUGUCCCAGAUAAGCUGCGCGCAAAGCGUCGCUCACCGGUGGCUGGCCGUGCUGACGGACAGGCGGCCCAAGCACCGAAGCAAGUAAGCGCCACUGGUUUGCGGUCUGGGACGCUAUCGUCCAAGCUUUCGCUCAAAUAGACCCACCGGCUGAUGGAGCUCCCAUUACUCUGGUCGAUUGAAAGUGCAUCUGGCGUUCAAACUCACGAGAAGACAACCAUAUAUGGUGGAAAGCAUUUUUAUUUUGCUUCAAAACUUGUGCUCUGUAUACAGUUCUUUCCACAAA